GAUGAACGCUGGCGGCGUGCUUAACACAUGCAAGUCGAACGAAGCACUUUAUUUGAUUUCCUUCGGGACUGAUUAUUUUGUGACUGAGUGGCGGACGGGUGAGUAACGCGUGGGUAACCUGCCUUGUACAGGGGGAUAACAGUUGGAAACGGCUGCUAAUACCGCAUAAGCGCCCAGCAUCGCAUGAUGCAGUGUGAAAAACUCCGGUGGUAUAAGAUGGACCCGCGUUGGAUUAGCUAGUUGGUGAGGUAACGGCCCACCAAGGCGACGAUCCAUAGCCGACCCGAGAGGGUGACCGGCCACAUUGGGACUGAGACACGGCCCAAACUCCUACGGGAGGCAGCAGUGGGGAAUAUUGCACAAUGGGCGAAAGCCUGAUGCAGCGACGCCGCGUGAGCGAAGAAGUAUUUCGGUAUGUAAAGCUCUAUCAGCAGGGAAGAUAAUGACGGUACCUGACUAAGAAGCACCGGCUAAAUACGUG
This 481-nucleotide ribosomal RNA is filed under the name uncultured bacterium. Its description in RNAcentral is "partial 16S ribosomal RNA". It matches the Rfam family "Bacterial small subunit ribosomal RNA", at positions 28 to 507 of the family's 1533-position model. The record is from RNAcentral.